GACGAACGCUGGCGGCGUGCCUAAUACAUGCAAGUAGAACGCACAGUUUAUACCGUAGCUUGCUACACCAUAAACCGUGAGUUGCGAACGGGUGAGUAACGCGUAAGUAACCUGCCUGGUAGCGGGGGAUAACUAUUGGAAACGAUAGCUAAUACUGCAUAAUAUUGAUUAUUGCAUGAUAAUUGAUUGAAAGAUGCUAUUGCAUCACUACCAGAUGGACCUGCGUUGUAUUAGCUAGUAGGGGAGGUAACGGGGCACCUAGGCGACGAUACAUAGCCGACCUGAGAGGGGGAGCGGCCAAGCUGGGACGGGAGCACGGUCAGGACUCCUGCGAGAGGGAGAAGUAGGGGACCCUCGGCAAAGGACGAAAGUCGGAACGAGCAACGCCGCGUGAGAGAAGGAGGUUUUAGGAUCGUAAAGGUGUGGUGUAAGAGAGGAACGGGUGUGAGAGUGGCAAGUGCUCACUGUGACAGUAUCUUACCAGAAAGGUACGGCUAACUACGUG
Molecule: ribosomal RNA, 505 nt
Filed under: uncultured bacterium
Lineage: Bacteria
Description: partial 16S ribosomal RNA
Rfam family: Bacterial small subunit ribosomal RNA
Source: RNAcentral